ACCAAAUCUGAAACGUAGAUUUUUGAAAGUAGUAAUGUAUUAAAUGAAAAAUAUACCGAGUUGGCGGAUCAAUGAAAAAUUAUGUAAACAAUGGAUAUAAAAUUCUGGAAAUACCUACGACAAAGAAAACACGCUGUUCCCCAGCGUGCGAUAGCGUUUGAAUCGUUACAAGAGGAAGGUAUCAAUGCAUCGGAAUCGCGUUUCUCAUCCUUCGACGUUUCGAGAGCAUCAUAGUUACCGGUAAGCGUGACACAAAGGUUAUUACGCUGGCACGAUAACAUCCGGGCAUAGCUGACGUGUUUGACUGACGAGCUCUCAGACGUCGCUGCAGGAGCACGCCAUUUGCGGACGGCCGGCUGAUACUUAUCUGCAGGACUGCUUUCGCACAGUAACACUGACAAUGAUAAUUAUACACUUCCCCUGUACUUUGACGUGGCUGACGUGUAGUUUAUAGAAGCUUCGAUUCUGUGUAUCUUCAAGGGAAGUUUUUUCGAAUCGAAGCAUUUCGUUCUAUUCGUAUAGAAGUUUAUGUUCGUUAAGUGUGUCGACUUUCGGUAUUACGCUGCGAAUAUUAAUAAGAUGGACAGUGUAAGUAACGCUGAUAUAACUGAAAUGAAGGUUAUGUGCCCGGUGUAUACAGUUAAGAUUUUGAGAUUGUGUUGUUUUUGAUAAUUACUAAAAGUAUACAAGUGCUCUGUUGACAAACUUGAUGAUCACCGAUGUUGACAUGAAGCAUCGACUAAAGUCAUUACACAGACUGGAAGCGAAAAGUAGGAAACUGUCGAGGAAAAGGCAACCGGACACCUUUCCCGUUAAUAGAGAACGGCGGAACUCUUUCUAUCAACUUUCUAGUCCCGUCACGGCAAUUAGCAAAGUACCUGCACUUGCGGAUAAAUCCUCUCGUGGCAGAAGCGCGACUUAUUUAUGACCAUCCUCGUCCCGAGACCCGACUAAAGGGUUAAAAGCGGAACAAUGCCACGGUCGACAUUGUUUUGAUGUGGUCAGAACUGAGGAAGAUCGGUGAAAAGAUGCAUAAACCUCCACGUCGUGUGCCAGUUUUCCAAAACGGAAGCUUCGACGUGAAACCCGUAGGCCUUUCCAUCUGCUGACAUUUUCUCUUUGUACGAAAAUUGCCAAUAGAAAAGUUUGUCUGUUCGACAGCUAGAAUUCUUGGAACUUGGGUACAAUUUUUUAAUUUGAUGCGAAGAUCGAUAUUUGUCGAGUUUCAUAGGAAGAAUCAAUAAUAUUAGCUUUUCAUUUCUCUUCUCUUUCCAAAAUCUUCUUCUUUUGAUAUGAAAUAUGUUAAUUCAAGAUGCAGUUUGAAUUACACAAAAUUUCAGUUUCAUAUUGUAGUUAUUGAUAUAUAUGUGUAUAAAUAUGUAUUCAGGAUUUUUCUGUGUGAUAAUUUCAUAAUUGACA
Bombus pyrosoma is the source of this 1419-nucleotide long non-coding RNA. RefSeq lists it as uncharacterized. Lineage: Eukaryota; Metazoa; Arthropoda; Insecta; Hymenoptera; Apidae. The transcript has 4 exons. The record is from RefSeq and is a predicted model, not a curated record.